CCCCGCGCUCCGUGAGGGGAGGCCGGUUUCGCAGCGGGGGAGACCCCCAGGGAUGGGUGCUCCCGGAAAAUGUGGUUAAAGGAGGAGCAAAAGGCCGCAAAAUCAGAGAGGUGAUAAUCCCAAAAUCGCACCACUGGGACUAUGGCGAUAGUCCCAAAAUGUGGCAGCAUUCCUGUCAGUCACAGCAUCUCAAGAGCUGCAAACCCAACAGGAAGAAGAUAGACAGGAGAACCUCAGGAAAGAUACGGCCUGACUGCUAGUGAAUAAUUGGGCCAUAAUUUCCAGGCAGUCUGUGUGUUGGGUCUCUGUGCAGAAAGCAGUUGCAAGGAAGCUUGCCCAGAGGAGUAGCUAUUUUAGGCAUCAUCCCAGAGGAUCAGUCACCAUCUUUUCCAUGAAGAUGCAGAGAAAAGGCUGUAGCAUUUUUGAAAGCAGUAAUGUAUUUCUGCAGGUGUUUAAAUUUGCUUGCACAUCUGACCUGACCCUGUGCUAUUUAGUGUUCAUGUAUUAAUCCUUUGCAAAUGUGAUGAAAACUCAGUUACUGAAUGUAAUGUUUCUUUGCAGCUCGCUGAUUAACUAAAUUCUGCUGGGCUGAGGAAAGGCUGGUGUUGAUAUGAGGAUUUAGCAGUUAAAUAGAUUGAAAACUGUUCAAUAUGGGCACCACCAAUAUUGUGUAACACUCAUUUCUAUUUAAACCAGAAUGAAAUAAAAUUCCUGUGGUAUUAGUAGCUGUAGUAUUGUUUUAGCUGUAAUUUAGCUAUAGUAUUAUUUUAUCAGCAUGCUUACAUUCUUUGAGCCAACUUGCAAUCUAUGGAAAAGGAUCAUUUGUCUUUUCUGAAACCAUAAAAAGCAGGACUUCUCUGAUGCUGUGUUAGCUCUCUCAAAUUCUUUACACGUUGAGUCAUCUACUUUUCCUCCUUGGAAAGGUAGGGAGCUGGUAGUAAUGUGCAGCUUUCACCAAAAGAUGUGACCACUGCUUCUCUCCUUGUUUGAAACUGCAGAAUUUUAUUGGCUAAAAGAAAAUUAUUCUGAACUGUGAAUCACAUCUUAACAAUUAGCAUGUUGUAGGAAAGCCAGCUAAUGAACAGGAGAUAGG
This is a long non-coding RNA of Lepidothrix coronata (blue-crowned manakin), 1093 nucleotides long. RefSeq lists it as uncharacterized. The transcript is spliced from 4 exons. The record is from RefSeq and is a predicted model, not a curated record. Lineage: Eukaryota; Metazoa; Chordata; Aves; Passeriformes; Pipridae.